RNAcentral lists this ribosomal RNA (497 nucleotides) under uncultured bacterium. Its description in RNAcentral is "partial 16S ribosomal RNA". It matches the Rfam family "Bacterial small subunit ribosomal RNA", at positions 28 to 507 of the family's 1533-position model. The record is from RNAcentral.
GAUGAACGCUGGCGGCGUGCCUAAUACAUGCAAGUCGAGCGAACAGACGAGGAGCUUGCUCCUCUGACGUUAGCGGCGGACGGGUGAGUAACACGUGGAUAACCUACCUAUAAGACUGGGAUAACUUCGGGAAACCGGAGCUAAUACCGGAUAAUAUAUUGAACCGCAUGGUUCAAUAGUGGAAGACGGUUUUGCUGUCACUUAUAGAUGGAUCCGCGCCGCAUUAGCUAGUUGGUAAGGUAACGGCUUACCAAGGCAACGAGGCGUAGCCGACCUGAGAGGGUGAUCGGCCACACUGGAACUGAGACACGGUCCAGACUCCUACGGGAGGCAGCAGUAGGGAAUCUUCCGCAAUGGGCGAAAGCCUGACGGAGCAACGCCGCGUGAGUGAUGAAGGUCUUCGGAUCGUAAAACUCUGUUAUUAGGGAAGAACAAAUGUGUAAGUAACUAUGCACGUCUUGACGGUACCUAAUCAGAAAGCCACGGCUAACUACGUG